UACGGAGGAUCCAAGCGUUAUCCGGAAUCAUUGGGUUUAAAGGGUCCGUAGGCGGUUUUGUAAGUCAGUGGUGAAAGCCCAUCGCUCAACGGUGGAACGGCCAUUGAUACUGCAAGACUUGAAUUAUUAGGAAGUAACUAGAAUAUGUAGUGUAGCGGUGAAAUGCUUAGCUAUUACAUGGAAUACCAAUUGCGAAGGCAGGUUACUACUAAUAUAUUGACGCUGAUGGACGAAAGCGUGGGGAGCGAACAGG
RNAcentral lists this ribosomal RNA (253 nucleotides) under uncultured bacterium. Its description in RNAcentral is "partial 16S ribosomal RNA". It matches the Rfam family "Bacterial small subunit ribosomal RNA", at positions 524 to 776 of the family's 1533-position model. The record is from RNAcentral.